AUACAGAGGGUGCGAGCGUUAAUCGGAAUUACUGGGCGUAAAGCGCGCGUAGGCGGUUUGUUAAGUUGGAUGUGAAAGCCCUGGGCUCAACCUGGGAACUGCAUUCAAAACUGGCAGGCUAGAGUAUGGUAGAGGGAAGUGGAAUUCCGGGUGUAGCGGUGAAAUGCGUAGAUAUCCGGAGGAACAUCAGUGGCGAAGGCGGCUUCCUGGACCAAUACUGACGCUGAGGUACGAAAGCGUGGGGAGCAAACAGGAUUAGAUACCCCAGUAGUCC
RNAcentral lists this ribosomal RNA (274 nucleotides) under uncultured bacterium. RNAcentral describes it as "partial 16S ribosomal RNA". It matches the Rfam family "Bacterial small subunit ribosomal RNA", at positions 523 to 796 of the family's 1533-position model. The record is from RNAcentral.